AAAAAAAAAAAAAAGGUGAAAAAAAAAAAGUUUCUUUUACAUACUCUCUCUCUCUCUCUUUCUUUCUCUCUCUCUCGCGUAUAGGCACCAAAGGGGGAGGUAGCCCUUUUUUUGGGCUGGCUGACAGAGGAGGGGUGCCAUGUGCACCCCAUCCUUUGUCCGUACAACAGAAAAAAAAGGGGAACUUCCGUUCUUAUUCGGCGACAACGGCAACAAUAAUCACGACGACUUCUACGACAGCAGGAGACAUGCAUGCAUACGCGUAGCCUAAGUGCGUAUUUUUUGUCAAUUUGAUCAACCCGACCAUCUUUGUGAUAGGUUUCGAACCGAUCGAAUUUGACAUUAAAUCGCAGCUUCCGUCGCGCGUAUGCAUCACUAAUCCCUAAACCGUACUUUUUUUUUUGUCUAUUUGAUCAACCCGACCAUCUUCGUGAUAGGUUUCGAACCGAUCAAAUUUGACAUUAAAUCGUAGCUUCCGUCGUAUGCAUCGCUAAUCUCUAACCGUGCGGCCAUCUUCGUGAUAGGCUCGACAUGGUCAAAAUGACUGAUCGAAUCGGAUGUUUCAUUACGUAAACCGUGCGGCCAUCUUUGUGAUAGGCUCGACAUGGUUAAAAUGGGUGAUCGAGCAUCAUUAAUGUUGUUACGAAAACUGUGCGGCCAUCUUCGUGAUAGGCUCGACAUAGUUGAAAGCGUAAACCGUGCGGCCAUCUUCGUGAUAGGCUCGACAUGGUCGAAAAGAUUAAUCGAGCGGCCAUNNNNNNNNNNNNNNNNNNNNNNNNNCAACAAUACUCUAUGAAAAUUAGCAAAUCAGAUGAGUGGAGCAAACUCUUAGUUCAAUGUUCAGAAACAUGUUGACAAAUUAUUCCUUGGCCUCUAGGACGUAAAAACCUCACAUAACAGUUAUCUGGCCCAACAUGCUAGUUAAAAUUUGACCUACCGUUCAAUAUGUGGUAAAACUAAUAUGAACCCCCCUCACCUGGACAGUUGUUGGUAAAUACUAAAUUUACACAAACUCAAAUGUUGAUAGGUGUGCGCUUUCUUCAUGUAAGUGCCGCAUGUAACCAUGCGUAUAUUCAAUCAUAGGAAAAUGCCAACACCCUUUCAAGGUAGAAGGCCACACAAUGGGUGUUGCGCAAAAAAACUAACACUCUUCAUUACAACUUAAUAUUUAUAUAUAGGAAAUUUUGGUCUUUAUUUCAAUUUACUACUUAAAUUGCAUCUAACAAUCAAUUUUUUGUUAUACAUGAUACUGAAAUAAUCUCAGACUCAUAUGAUGAAAUCAUAUAGUGAAUCUCAUACUCCCGAACAUAUGUAAUUUGAUUUAGGCCUUUAUAUAUAACAUACCUAGGUUAAUAGAUUAAGUGUAUAUGCAAUUAAAAUCCUUUUAUUAAUUGCAUGGUAACUUAAAUAACUUAACCCACCAUAAGAAUAUGACAUAUUAACUACGUCGCCUCGGAUUUAUAAUAUGUCAGCAAUAUCUUUACUUUCAUAUAUCAAAUAUAUGAAUAUGUUUUGUAUAUACUUUCACAUUAGGUUAAAACAUACAAACCCAAAUCUCAAAUCAGUACCAGCAAGAAUAAUUUUUGUGGCGACGACGAGUGUGCUCUAAUACCAUUGAUAAGGAAAUACGCACGUGCAUGUCAUUUAAUGUCACGACCUCCGGAUUACUCGUUUCCUCGGGCACGUUAACAGACCCAGUGUAUACAAAAAAAAUUUUCUAAGUACAAAGGAAAUGUUACCUGCCUUUUUUUUUCACCGUGCUAACAUAACAUAUACAUAUAACAAUUGUAUAAGAGCUGCUAAAUAAGAAAACAUAUAUAAAUACAAAGGUUCACUAUACUACAUAUAGCAUCAUAGAUACAAAAAUCAACUCGAAUCAGCGAGAUCAAAACAAUCAGUAUGUAUAAUAAACCCAAAACACUACACACUUACCUAUAGCUGGUACUCCCUCUAGCUCUGUGACUCGUUAGAAGGGCUCUAACCUCGCAACACCUUUUCCACGAUUACUAUCAGCAGUAGCAGCAGCGCAACCCGAAGGCUCUGCAAAAAUCCACAACUGGGUGCGGAGAACUUACUUGCAAAAGAAGUAGUCCUCAGUGGGUACCCGCUAACAACCUCAACGCGCUCUCACCCACUAAGCUCUACAGAAGAUAUGAUCAAUGAUAGUAAAAAUCUGAAAAUAAUCUACAGCUAUAUGCACAAUACUAUCAUGAUCGCAAAUAAUAUAUGUAGAUAAGCAGUCUCUGACCCAAUGCUUACUAGGGAAUUGUGAAACAUCCGUCCGCCUGUCGAAGCUACAGCAGCUAAGCUCAAAUCGCAAUGCCGUCGAGUGAGAGAGCUAAUCCAAUCAGGACCAACGACAUUAACGCAAACGCCACUAAGCCGACUCCGGAGUGGCACUCGGUGGGCGCUACCGCAAACACGCGAUUGCAGGAUACUUCUACCGAGGCCGCAAUGCAGGCUUCAGCAGACUAUAGUCAAAGUACAACAGUGUCCAAAACCAAACCACUGUGCCCCAUCGGCACAAUCUGAUGGCAAAAACAAGUAAUCUGGUCCAUCGUCCCACACUCAACGGCACCGACAGUCUGAACAGUGCUAAACAACUGCAUAUACAAAUUAAGCUCGGGCAUCUGUCAGCACGAGUGUGAAUUGAUUCUACACUAUUCUGGGUAUCCACCGUCACAAACCUGCGGCGAUACAAACAAACUACGGCUCCUAGAGGCUAAAUCUAGGUAGUUUUAACAAAUGAUUGUUUACGUGUAGAAUCGCUAGUUUUCUCCUAAAGUCAAAUUCAAUCCAACAUGUAUAUUUAACAAACAUUUUAAGCUCCAAUUCAGAAUUUCAAUAAGCAUGCAAAUCAUAAUUUGAGCGCAUUAAUAUAAUCUAACAAAUAACAAUCACAUGUUGACACAUAUUAAACUUAGAAGGAAAAUCCGCCGAAUUUCGACGUAAGCAUCACAAUUUAACCACCUCUAGGUAAUGCCACGGAGCACGAGGUCACAAGUUGCUGGAAAAGCCCUACAAGGACCAACCGAAUCAAAUCAAGAACCAGCAACCAAACUUCUCCAAAGAUCUAAACAUCAAAAACCAAAUGCUGCAUAUUACAAUUCCUAGAUUUCAGUACUAAAGGCUAAAUGUCCUCCAUGUCAUGUCAACUUUACCUUCUCCAAAACUCCAAUUCAGGUGAGAGAGAGAGCAUGCCCAAAUCCAUAAACUAAAAAGAGGAUCCACCUCAGGCUCUGAAAUCUAGCUUCCUCGAAAGAUUUGCAUCAAAGAAGAACCGAUAAAAUCAUUUCAGCUGUCAAAACAUCAACACGCAAGAAAAAUACAGAAAUUGACUUAUACUAACCUCAUCAAGAUGUUGUGCAAAAAGGCCUCCACGAAAUUCUCAAGAAUGCUUAGCUAACCAAUAACAAUUAUAUACCAUCGACCGUUCCUACACGGCAGCCGAGCCAAAACGGCCGCAAAGGUCGUGGUAGAUAUUCUGCCUAAAACAGCAAUCCUCAAGUGGCGAAUUGAGGCAAAUUGAAUGGAUUUAGAGGGUUUGCGAAUGGCGAUAUUUUAGCCUUCUCUCAAUGAGAGGAGAUGAAAGAGUAGUUCGACCCAGGUCGUACUCUCAGCCUAUUGUGUAGAGAGGUGAAGAUGAGAUAAGCCCGAGAGACAGAAGAGCAAAGAGCUGUGGGAUGUUCCAUGACAGAAACGGGCACUUUCGGGCGCCGGAACCAUUUUCUGGACGGUCGCGAAACCUGCGGCAGGUUGCAGCAAAUCACUCAUCUUCCGUUCCUCCGCUCGCGUGUGUCUGUGCUCUUAUGCCCUGUCCGGCGACCUCGACUAACCACCAGACACUGGUCAGCACAAUCGAUGAUUCACAAAGUUGAAACUUUCGGGCCCUCUUCUGGGCGUCUGAAACUAAGGAUCCGAAUUCGUCUCCAUGUUUGCUGCUUAGUUCAGGCACUCGAGUCUGGGUGUCCAAACCAUGACUAGGCGCCCGAACACUGGCAAAUACUCCCAGUUUUACUCCUUUGAGUCGGACGGAGUACUACUUCUCUGCAUCCCAUUUCAUGCAAGAAAUGACUCCGAUCAUUCUUCGACACCUCUCCCAGAGUGUGUGACCUCAGUCACUAAUAUUGUCACCAACCUUCCAAACUCCGAAUACAUACAUUAAUGCCAAACGGAAUAAAUUUUAUUUAUAAAUAUGACCAACUCUAUGUAUACUUUAAUCAUUCAAUAACAUUUUGAUUAUUAGUAUAUAUAUGUAACCAAGAUCAUCUCGUGUGACACAAAAAUAUGUUAUUUGCUAUUCUAAUAGAAGAAAGCGUUCGAAUUAUCAACCUGUGUUGAUUACUGAAAAUUAUUUUACGGUUUGAAUUUUGGAUCUGCAUCUUCGGGUUUUGUUCAGCCACACAAGUGUCGACCAUCUUAUAUUUAUCCCACACAAAGGCUGCAUCCUGGCAUUAUUGCUUCACGACAAUCAAGUAUAAAUCUCGAAACUCCUUUGUGUGAUCUCUUGUGUCAAUAUGGAGAAAAAUUAAUCACUCGAAUAAUUGUGCUAGCAAUUAUCAAGAAGAUUAACUAUAGAGGAACAAUUCUAUAUAGGAUGACCUCUCCUAUUUGAUUUAAAAAAUAGCUUACAUGAUUCAAGGAAUAUCCUAUUCUUCUAUUUCCUCCCAAUUCAUUUUGUGUGUGUGAUGAUUAUCAUCAUUGAGAGACUGCCUAACUCUUAUAGGUGGAGGCCAAAAAAGUUAGAGAGCCGGAGAAGAGGUGGGAGAAACGUUCUCAUAAUAGACAUUGAUUUCCUGCGCAAGUUAAUAAAACGAUCUCUUUUCUCCAAUUUGGAGAGGAGAGAGAAAGAAAGAAACACCACUAUAAUGAGAGGGAGAAGUUUAAACCUUACUCUCAUUUGAUAUUAUAGAGAAAAAGAGAGGAAAGAAAAAACGCUUUUCACUUUUCUUCUCCAUUAAUAGCUAACAAUUAAUACAGUAAAGUUUAAUUUUCUUUCUCUUUCCUCUUUUGUCUCAUCUCCCAAACAAUUAUAAAAGGGAAUUAAUACGAAAGAGAGUUGUACACCUCAAUGAGUGUUGCAACUAAUUGCCACAUAAAGCUACGUACUAAAUUCAAAUUAGUAUGUAGCGUCACUCUAUACAAAUUUACUUUUGCAAUAGAGUUUUUGCUAACCACUUAAGCAAAUAAAUUCUUACUUUGACUAUUUUAGCAAAUAGUCUCUGCUUAAUAUCUCCAAGCACUAGAUCACAUGCAGGCUUUAUUUGUGUGGACCACAUAGUGUUCAAUUCUACCUUGGUAGUGGAGCAUGUGACACUAAACUCUUUGAAUGCCACCAUCAAGCAACUCUCGCGAUGGAUCCCGUAAAAUAUUUUAGGCUCUCCAACUUAGUGUAAUUAACUACUUAAUUUACUCUUAUGGGUCCCACAAUCACUAGUGACACUAUAGCAGUAUACGGUGAUCCAAGUAGAAUUAAUAAUAGAGCAGACUCUGGCACGUUACCGUGUGAUAAAAAUCCUCUUUAUCAGUUGGUCCCCGAUUCGAGUUUGAAGGCCAGUUAUGGAUAACUUGUCAAAGCCCCGGCUUCCUUUGGUUUUAAAAUCGAUUGCGGAAGGCCCAAACUUUUUUUUAAUGAAAACCUUGACGGCAAAGGACGUCAGAUCCGCGCAACAAUACAGGAAAAUCCACUUUCACAUGACAGAGUUUUUCCGCUAUAUUUGCACGGCGUCGCAAUAGGUACAAGAUACAACCAACAGGUUAAACAACCACAUACAAUACCACAUCAAACAGAUACCAUUCAUCAUUUAUCCACAGUUUAUCUGUCACGGCCCUACGACCGCCCCACGUUGGUCGAAUUGGGUACGUCGACAGGACCGCCAAACGGAACAGGGUUUCCUCUGUACGUCCUACGUCACACUAUCCAUCAAUUUGCGCGGUUCCAACCUAGGAACAACAUUCAUACACAGAUUAAUAAGGAGGUAUCAAAAUAUAUAAAGCUAAACUAUUACAGCACAUUCAUCUCACAUGUAUUUACAUAUUACAUUUUUCCACUUAGCUCAAAUGCAUCCUCACUAGUACUAUUAUUUACUUUUGCUCUUCUUUUUCCCGUACCCUAAGUGUUAAUCAUUUUGGCACUCCGCGUGGAGUUGAUGGGUGUGAUAUCGGGUGUAACCCCUAGAUUCUUCCUAUGGAUAACACUGUUUGAAUCCUCCUUAGAAGAUAUAUGAUUGGCAGAUCCAUUCAUAAGAGCAAGUUAAAGCAGAUCUAGACUUCGCCCUCGAUCUGGUUGAGGAAGGUGAGAAGAAAUUUUAGCCAUGUGUCUGGCCGCGAACGUAACCUGCCCGCCGCAGGUUAUUUCUGGGCAGUGGGUUCAUUCAUGGUAGAGAUUAAAAUUUUGUUUAUAUUUAUUUUGAAAUCAGGAUGCAGUAGGUUCCAUGGCUUCCAACAGACAUCAAGGUCUCUGUAAUUACCGCAACACUUUUGUGUUAAGGACCCUCGAUUAAGAGACCAAUAUAAAUGUGAUAAUGAAGGAAGCAAAACAGGCACAUAAAAUCUUUAUUGAUAUGAUUUUGCCGGUUUACAUAGUUAAGCAUGGCAUACCCCCAAUUUUUGGUUUAAAAAACAUCGAAUUUAUCAGACUAAAUACUCAAGUGGCAUGUUCGUUGAAGUUUGAUCUCAGUUUUAAUAACAUGGCGGUCACAGUUUAAGUUUUGAUGCUAGUUUAAUGACUGGGGUCGAGUUCAAGUUUUGAUGCGCAGUUAAUGAAUGGCGGUCGAGUUCGAAGUAUUGUGAACACUCGCAGUCGUUUAAUUGUUAGGUUUAACGACUCCUUCCGGUCCGUGUUGAAGUGAGUUUUAGUUUAGCCAGACAUUUUCGGUCGUGUGAAUUUUGGUGGUCUUAGUUUUAGCGGGACAUUUCGGUCGUUUGAAGUUGAGUUUAGUUACGACAUUGUCGGCCGUCUUGAAUUGGUUUUUGGGCUUCGAACGUUAUGCUUUGUUCGAGACCCAUUCAAGACUUGUUUGGUUGGGUCGUCAAGACCCAUAAGGACUUGGCUCGGUUUGCGGUCUUCGAGUGACCCAUCAAGACUUGGCUUGUUUGGAUCGUUCGUGGACCAUCAAGACUGGUUUGUGGUCAAAAGUUCGGGACCCAUCUAAGACUUAGUUGCGGUAUUGGGUCGUCAGCGACCCGUCAAGGCUUGGUGUGGGUCUUUCGGGACCCAUCAAGACUUGAUUUGGGUCGUCGACCACAUACUGCGUUUCGAGUCAUUCGAGAACCAUCAAGACUUAGUUCGUUUGGCGCUCGUUCAGGACCCGUCAAAAGCUUGUGUCGUGAUAGUGUUGUGUCGUCGCGGACCAUAAGACUUGGUUUGGGGUUGUUCGGGACCCAUCAAGCGGUUCGUCGGUAAAAGAGUUUGGUUUGGGGUCGAUUCGGCCUCAAGACUUGGUUUGGUCAGUUCGGGGGACCCAUCAAGGCUUCGUUCGGUUUUGGGUCGUUCGCCGACCCUUAAGACUUGGUUUGUGGUGCGUGCGACCAAUCUAAGACUUGGUUUGGGUCGUUCGUGACCCAUCAAGACUUAGUUGAGUUGGGCGACUUCAAGUUUAUUUGGUCAUUUUUGGAUUUGGGUUGUUUAGUUUAGCAGACUUUAGCGGUCGGUUGAAUUGUUUAGUUUAACGCUUUUCGGUCGUUUGAAUUUGUUUAGUUAACGACUUUUCGGUGAUUGCUUAUUUGUAGGCUUUGGGAUUUUGGAUUUUAUGUUUGUGACUUUGGUUUGGGUUUUUUAUUUGUGGACUUCGUGGAUUUUGGGUUUUAUUUGUGGACUUGGGUUUUGAAAUUUUUUUGUGGACUUUGGGCGUUUUGGGUUUGAGUUUGAGUCGUGGGGCUUUGAAACCGUUAUGCUUUGGUUCGGAUCUAAGGUCCAGACUAUGGUUUGAACUUGGAUCUUUAUGGUGGUUUGGCUUGGAUCCACCUUGGUUCGAGUUAGACCCUGAUUGGAUUGAACCGAAUUCGCUCAAGUCUGGUUCAGUCGGAUCAUAGUUCGGUUCGGAUUUGGACCCACUUACAGCUUCAGAGCCAGGUUCUGAUUGGGUUCGGUUCAGUCGGAUCCAAUUCGAUCAGUUGAAUCUUCUAUGUCAUGUGUUCGGUUGGAUCUGUUAGGUUCAAUUCGGUCGAUCCUCGCUUACGAUCCAAUUCAAGUCGAAUCAUUAUGAUUUGGUUUCAGAGACGGGAUCCGGUUGCGGUUGCAGCUUGAAGUCGAGUAACGCUUCGGUUUAAGUGGAAUGGUGCUAGUGGUUCGGUUCGGACUGGGAUCUGGUUUGGUUCGAUCCGGGGUGUCGGCUCGGUUUGAGUUCGGAUAGUGACGGGAUGCCGGUUUGGUUUCGGAUCCGGUUCGCGUGUCAUUGGGUUGCGCGACGUACGAGAUCUGGUUCAAUUCAGUUAUGUCGCGAUCGGCACGGGAUCGAAAUUCGUCGUUCGGAUCCGGUUGCAGGUUCGGUCGUGAUCCGGUUCAGUCAGGUUUGGGUUCGGGGGAUUCGGUUGGUUCAGUUUGGUUUUGAUGAGACGGAUCCGCGAUUCGGGUUCGGAUCCGUGUUCGGUUCGGUUCCGGAUCCGGUUCAGUUCAGUUUGGUUCGGGACGGGAUUCAGUUUCGGUUCAGAUUGGUUAUCGGAUCGCCUUCGUUUAAGUCGAAUCCCUUGUUUGAUCGGCUCGAAUCGGCUCCACUUCGUUCGAGGUCGAAUGCUUCCAUUUUUUUUCGUUCGGAUGGAUCAAAUUGCAUGUGGACUGAGAUGACUUAGGCUUUAUAAUGUUAUAGGCCUUGGUAUCCGAAUCUGUACGUCUGAGCUUUGGGCCGAAUCUGUUGUGGGCUCUGCAUGCUUGGGUUUUUAUUUUAUUUAUUUAUUUAUUUUUUCGCGAUUACUGCUAUAGUAGAAUAACCCGAAUCCAACUCCUUAAAUUUCUUUUGUUUUUUUUUAUUUUGACUGGAGAAAAUAAAAGGAACAACUCCCCUUUUUUUUUCUUUUCUUUUCUUUAUCUUUUUUUUUGUCAUUCUUCCUUUCUCUUUUUUUUUUUUUUUUUAUUUUUUUUGACUUUUCAGGAGAUGAGAAGAGAAAGACCCAACUCUCUCUCUUCUUUUCUCUUGUGUGAUUACACAAAACCAGAGGGGGAGAGAGGAAUAACUCCUUUCUUUUUGUGUAUUUUUUCUUUCUUUCCUUUCUUGCUCUUCUUCUUCUUUUUUUUUUUUUUGAUACUUUUAUUCAUUCCUUUUUUUUUGCUCUUUUUUUUUUUGGACUGGAUAAAUAAUGAAUAAUACCUUUGUUUUGUUUCGAUUUCUUUUCCUUUUUUGUUCGUCUUUUUUUUUUUUGCUUUCUUUUAUUGAAUUUUUUUUUUUCUUCGUUUUUUUUUUGUUGAUUGCAACAAGAGAGAGGAGAAAGGGAGACCAAGCCCAACUCUCUCUCUCUCUCUCUCUUCACUCUGUACGAAAUAGAGAAACGAAGAAGGAGCAUUGCUCUGCUCUUUCUCCCUUUCUACUUUUUUUUUUAUUUGUUUCUUCUUGUUUUUUUUUGUUUAUUCAUUCCUUUUGUUUAAAUAACGAAGUUGAUCAACGCCGAGCAGUAUAUUAAUCGAUUCGAACGAGAGUGAGCGAAUGCAAAAUUAGAAUCUGUUCCAUUUUAUUAUUAUUUUUGUUAACACGUUUUUUAAGUCCGCGAUUAUCGUGUCGAGCCUCAUACGAAGUUCUCUCAAAAAAAAAAAAAAAAAAAAAAAAACCUUGUUCUGAAACUCUAAUUUAAAGUUCCUUUAUUUAAGUGUGGAACUGUUGUGGACUAAAAAAAAAAAAAAAGAAAGAAAGAGGGAGUUGUUCCAUUUUUUUAUUUUUCCAAUCAAAAAAAAAAGAAACAAAAAGAAAUUUUUAAGGAAUUGGAUUCGGGUUAUUCUAAAAAAAUAAAUAAAUGAAUAAAAAAAACACCCACAUGCAGAGCCCACAUACAGAUUCGGGCCCAAAGCUCAGACCGUACAGAUUCGGAUCUAAGGCCUAUAACAUAUAAAGCCUAAAGCUCAUCUCAGUCCACAUGCAAAUUUGGAUCCAUUCCGAACAAAAAAAAAAAGGAAGCAUUCGACUCGAACCAAAGUGGAGCCGAUUCGAACCACAACCACAAGGGAUUCGGCUUAAACCGAAGCGGAUCCGACCCAAGUUGAACUGAACCGAAUCCUGUCCGAACCAAACUGAACUGAACCGGAUCUGAACUGAACCGAACCGGAUCCGAACCGAAUCUGAUCCCGUCCGAUCCGAACCAAACUGAACCGAACCGGAUCUCGUCCGAUCAGAACCGAACUGAACCGGAUCCGAACCGAAUCGAACCGGAUCCGAACCGAACCGGAUCCCGUCCGAACCAAACUGAACUGAACCGGAUCCGAACCAAACCGAACCGGAUCCAAACCGAAUCGGGACCAAACUGAACUGAACCGGAUCUCGUCCGGUCCGAACCGAACUGAACCGAACCGGAUCCGAACCAAACCGGAUCCCGUACGAUCCGAACCAAACUGAACCGAACCGGAUCCGAACCGAACCGGAUCCCGUCUGAACCGAACCCAAUCAGAAUCCGACUCGAACUGAAGUGGGUCCAAUCCGAACCGAAUAUGAUCUGACUUGAACCGACUCGAGCUGAAUCCGGUUUAAUCCAAUCAGGGUCUAACUCAAACCAAGGUGGGUCCAACCCGAACCAAACCAUGAAGAAUCUAAUUCAAACCAAGUCUGGAUAGAUCCCGAACCAAAGCAUAACGGUUCAACCCAAACCCAAAGUCCGCAAACUCAAAAUCCAAAACCCAAAGUCCACAAAUAAAAACCCAAAAACCCAAAAUCCACAAAGUCCACAAAUAAAAACCCAAACCCAAAGUCCACAAACUCAAAAUCCAAAACCCAAAGUCCACAAAUAAAAACCCAAAAACCCAAAAUCCACAAAGUCCACAAUAAAAACCCCAAACCCAAAGUCCACAAAUAAAAAUCCAAAAUCCAAGCCUACAAUAAAACAAGACGCAAAGUCGUUAAACUACAAACAAUCCAAUUAAACGACCGAGAAGUCAUAUAAACCUGAAACCCAAGUUCCAAACGACCCGAAAGUCGUUAAAACUAAACAAUCUCAAACGACCGAAAAGUCGUUAAACUUAAACAAUUCCAAACGACCGUAAAUCCAAACUAACAACCAAAUCCAAAUGACCCAAUAAACUUGAAGUCGACCAACUCACAACUAAAGCNNNNNNNNNNNNNNNNNNNNNNNNNNNNNNNNNNNNNNNNNNNNNNNNNNNNNNNNNNNNNNNNNNNNNNNNNNNNNNNNNNNNNNNNNNNNNNNNNNNNNNNNNNNNNNNNNNNNNNNNNNNNNNNNNNNNNNNNNNNNNNNNNNNNNNNNNNNNNNNNNNNNNNNNNNNNNNNNNNNNNNNNNNNNNNNNNNNNNNNNNNNNNNNNNNNNNNNNNNNNNNNNNNNNNNNNNNNNNNNNNNNNNNNNNNNACUUUCUCCGUUUUGUCCGUUUAUUUUAAAAUAACUAUACUAAACGGCAAAUGUAUCGAAUUCGUCCCCGUAUGGGGGUGACAUGUACUUAAAAUAGUCUGAUUUAUGAGUUACCGUCAACCAACUUCAAAACUACGAGUCAAAUUAUUGUACCGCCAGUUCAAAUUCAAAACUACGAGUCAAAUUACUGUACCGCCAGCUCAAGUUCAAACCUACUUGUUGAAGCGUCAGCAAAUCUAACCCAAAUCAAAUUGCUGAAAGGCCAGCAAACUUCAACUCAAAUCAAAUCGCUGUAAAGCCAGCAAACUUAACCAAAACCCAGCUUGGCAAUACGAAACCAAGCUCUGGGUAGUUCUGAACCAAACCCAACCCAGCAAGUUCUGGGUAGUUCUGAACCGAGCCAAACCCAGCAAGCUCUGGGUAGUUCUGAACCGAACCAAACCUAGCAAGCCCUGGGUAGUUCUGAACCAAACCCAGCAAGCCCUGGGUAGUUCUGAAUCAAGCCAAACCCAGCAAGUCCUGGGCAGUUCCGAACCAAACCCAGCAAGCCCUGGGUAGUUCUGAACUAAACCCAGCAAGCCCUGGGUAGUUAUGAACCAAACCCAGUAAGCCCUGGGUAGUUCUGAAUCAAGCCAAACCCAGCAAGUCCUGGGCAGUUCCGAACCAAAACCAGCAAGCCCUGGGUAGUUCUGAACCAAACCAAACCCAGCAAGCCCUGGGUAGUUCUGAACCAAAUCCAGCAAGCCCUGGGUAGUUCCGAACCAAACCAAACCCAGCAAGCCCUGGGUAGUUCUGAACCAAACCCAGCAAGCCCUGGGUAGUUCCGAAGCAAGCCAAACCCAGCAAGCCCUGGGAAAUUCUGAACCAAACCCAGCAAGCCCUGGUUAGUUCUGAACCAAACCCAGCAAGCCCUGGGUUAUCAGCAUUUAUAUUUGGUCUCUUAAUCGAGGGUUCCUUAACACCAAAAGUGUGGGGUAAUUAACAGCAGACUCUUGAGUCUGUUGGAAGCCAUGAACCUAUGAUCCUGAUUUCAAAAUAAAAUUUAAACAAAUUUUAUCUCUACCAUGAAUGACCACUCGCCCUAGAAACAACCUACGGCGGGGCCGGUUAGUUCGCGGCAGACACAUGGCUAAAUUUCAAUUCUCACCUUCCUCAACCAGAUCGAGGGCGAAGUCUAGAUCUGCUUUAACUUGCUCUUAUGAAUGGGAUUCCAUCAUAUAUCCUUCUAAGGAGGAUUCAAACAGUGUUAUCCAUAGGAAGAAUCUAGGGGUUACACCCGAUACACAACCCAUCAAAACUCCACCGGAGUGCUCAAAUGAUUAACACUUAGGGUACGGGAAAAAGAAGAGCAAAAUGUAAUAAUAGUACUAGUGAGGAUUGCAUUUGGAAGCUAAGUGGAAAAAUGUAAUAUGUAAAAUACAUGUGAGAUGAAUGCUUGUAAUAGUUUAGCAUUUAUAUUUUUGAUACCUUCCUUAUGUAAUCUGUGUAUGAAUGUUGUUCCUGGUUGGAACCGCGCAAAUUGUAUGGAUUGUGACGCCUAGGACGUACAGAGGAAACCCGUCCGUUUGGCGGUCUGUCGACGUACCCGAAUUCGACCAAAGUGGCGGGUCCUAGGCCGUGACAGAUAAACUGUGAUAAAUGUGAAUGGUAUCUGUGAUGUGGUGAUUGUAUGUGGAUUGUUAUACUGUGUGGUUGUAUCUUGUACCUAUGCGACGCCGUGCAAAUAUAGGGAAAACUCUGUCCAUGUGAACAGUGGAUUUUCUGUAUUUGUGGCGGAUCUGACGUCCUUUGCCGUCAAGGUUUUCAUUAAAAAAAAAGUUUGGGCACUUCCGCAUCGAUUUUAAAACCAAAAGGGAGCCCGGGGCGUGACAAGUUAUCCAUAACUGGCCUCAACUCAAUCGGGACAACUGAUAAAAAGAUUUUAUCACACGGUAACUGCACCUAGAGGUUCUGUCUAUUAUUAAUUCUACUUGGAUCACCGCGAUAUACUGCUAAGUGUCACUAGUUGAUUGUGGGACCCAUAAGAGUAAUUAAGUAGUUAAUUACACUAAGUUGGGAGAGCUAAAAAUAUUUUGGUCCAUCGAGAAGAGUUCUGAUGGUGGCAUUCAAAGAGUUUAGUGUCACAUCUCACUACCAGGUAGAAUUGAACCUAUGUGGUCACACACAAUAAAGGCUGCAUGUGAUCUAGUGCUUGGAGAAUUAACAGAGACUAUUUUGCUAAAAUAGCAAAGUAAGAAUUUAUUUGCUAAGGUGGUUAGCAAAAACUCUAAUUGCAAAAGAUGAAAUUUGUAUAGAGUGACCUAAUACUAAAUUUGAUUUAGUACGAGGGCUUAUGUGCAAUAGUUGCAACAACUCAUGAGGUGACAACUCUCUCUUCGUAUUUAAUCCUUUUAUUAAUUGUUGGGAGAUGAAGACAAAAAGGGAGAGAGAAAGAAAAUAAAAUUAUACUUAUUAAUUGUACUAUUAAUGGAGAAGAAAAGUGAAAACGUUUUUUCUUUCCUCUCUUCUUCUCUAUACAUAUCAAAUGAGAGAAGUUAACUCUCCUCUCAUUUAUAGUGUGUGUUUUCUUUCUUUCUCUCCUCUCCAAAUUUGAGAAAGAGAUGUUUUAUUAAUUGCGAGGAAAUCAAUGUCUCAUUAUGAGAACGUUUCUCCCACCUCUUCCUCGGCUCUCUACUUUUUGCCUCACCUAUAAAUUGAGGCAUCUCUCAAUGAUGAUAAUCAUCACAACACAAAAUGAAGUGGGAGAGAAAUAGAGAAAAUUCUCCUAAUCAUGUAAAGCUAUUUUUUAAUCAUAAUAGAGAGGUCAUCCUAUAUAAAUUGUUCUCUAUAGUUAAUCUUCUUGAAAUUGCUAGCACAAUUUUGAGGAUUAAUUUUUCUCCAUAUUGACACAAGAGAUCACAAAAGGAGUUUCGAGAUUAUACUGUGAUUGUGUGAAGCACAGAUCCCGGAGCAGCCUUGUGUGGAUAAAUAUAGAGGUCGAACACUUGUGUGGCUGAAAAAACCCGAAGAUCAGAUCCAAAAUCAACCGUAAAAUAAUUUCGGUAAUCAACACAGGUUGAAAUUCGAACCUUUCUUCUAAUUAGAAUAGAAUAAUAAAUUUUGUGUCACACGAGAUGAUCUUGGUACAUAUAUAUACUAAUAUCAUAAAUGUUAUGAUAUUAAAGUAUACAUGAUUGGAUCAUAUUUUAUAAAUAAAAUUUAUUUCCGUUGCAUUAAAUGUAGUAUUCCGGAGGUUUGGAUAGGAUUGGUGACAGUAUUAGUGACUGGUCAACACAUCUGGAGAGUGUCGAAAUGAGUCGGAGUCAUUUCUGCAUGAAAGGGAUGCAGAAAUAGACUCGUCGCACUCAAAGGAGUAAAACUGGAGUUUUGCCAGUUUCGGGCGCCUAGUACAUGGUUUGGGACACCCAGAACUCGAGUGCUGAACUAAGCAGAACUGGAAGCGAAUUCGGAUCCUAGUUUCAGACGCCCAGAAGAGGGCCCGAAAGUUCACUUUGUGAAUAUCGAUUGUGCUGACACGUGUCUGGUGGUUAGUGAGGUCCGCCGGACCAGGAUAAGAGCACAGCACACCGCGAGCGGAGGAACCGAAGAUGAGUAUUUGUGCAACCUGGAGGUUUCGGACGUCCAGAAAAUGGUUCCGGGCGCCCGAAAGUGCCCGUUUCUGCAGGAACUGCAGGUUUGUGUUUCUGUUCUUGGGACUUAUCUCAUCCUUUCACCUCUCUACAAAUAGGUGGAGUACGACCCUGGUGAACUCUUUUCAUCUCCUCUUCAUAGAGAAGGCUAAAAUUGCAUUCCAACCCCUCUAAAUCCUCCAAUUUGCUCAAUUCCACCUUGAGGAUUGCUGUUUUAGCAGAAUUCUAGCAGCGACCUUUGGCGUUUUGGCUCGUGUGCGAUGUAGGAAGGUCGGAUUGCAAUAAAACUUAGUUUAUUGGUUAGCUAACUUCCUGGAGAUUUCGUGGAGGCCUUUUUGACAACAUUUGAUUGAGGUUAGUAUAGUCAAUUUGGUAUUUUUCUUCGCUGUUGAUGUUUUUGAGCUGAAAUUGAGUUUUAUCGGUUUUCUUGAUGCAAUCUUUCGAGGAAGCUAGAUUUCAGACCUGAGGGUGAUACUCUAUUCUAGUUUACUGGAUUUGGGACCUUUCUUCACCUGAAUUGGAGUUGGGAAGGUAAAGUUGACAUUGGACAUGGAGGAAUUUAGCUUUAGUACUGAAAUUUGGGAGUUGUAAUGCAAGAUUUGGUGUUUUUGAUGUUUAGAUCUUUGGAGAAGUUUGGUUGCUGGUUCUGAGUGAUUUCGGUUGGUCUUGGUAGGGUUUCCAGCAACUUUGUGACCUCGUGCUGCCGUGGAUUAACGCUAGAGGUGGGUUAAAUGUGAUGCUUACCGAAUUCGGCGGAUUUCCUUCUAAGUUAAUAUUGUCAACAUGUAUUGUUAGUUGUUAGAUUAUAUUAAUCGGCUCAAAUUUAUGAUUUGCAUGCUUAUUGAAAUCUGAAUUGGGAGCUUAAAAUGUUUGUUAAAUAUACAUGUUGGACUUGAAUUUGACUUAGGAGAAAACUAGCGAUUCUACACCGUCAUUUGUUAAAACUACCAGAUUUAGCUCUAGGAGCCGUAGUUUGUUUGUAUCGCCGCAGUUUGUGAACGGUGGAUACCCAGAAUAGUGUAGAAUGCAAUUACACUCGUGCUGAGAUGCCGAGCUUAUUUUUAUAGCAGUGUUUAGACUGUUCCAGACUGUCGGGUGCCGUUGAGGUGGACGAUGGACCCAGAUUACUGUUUUUGCAUCAGAUUGUGCCGAGGGCACGUGGGUUUGGUUUUUGGACCCUGUUUACUUUGACUAUAGUCUGUGAGAGCCUGAUUGGGCUCGGUAGAGAUACGCUUGCAUACUCGGUUGGGUAGCGCCCACGAGUGCCACUCCGGAGUCGGGCUUAGUGCGUUUGCGUUAAUGUCGUUGUGUCCUGAUUGGACUUGCUCUCUACUGACGGCCUUGCGUUGAGGUAGCUGUGUAGCUUCGACAGGCGGGACGGAUGUAUUCACAAUCCCUAGUAAGAUUGGGUCAGAGACUGCUUUAUUCUACAUAUAGUUAGUGUUGGAUCAUGAUAGUAUUGUGGCAUAUAGCUGUAGAUUAUUUUCAGAUCUUUACUAUCAUUGAGCAUAUCUUCUGUAGACUUAGUGGGUGAGCCGUUGAGGUUGGUAGCGGUACCCACUGAGGACUACUUCUUUUUGCAGUAGUUCUCACGCCCAGUUGUGGAUCUUUUGCAGAGCCUUCGGUUGCGGCUGCUGCUACUGCUGAUAGUAAUCGUGGAAAAGGUGUUGCGAGUUAGAGCCCUUCCUAACGAGUCACAGAGCUAGAGGAGUACCAGCUAUAGGUAGUUGUAGUUUUUGGGUUAUUAUACAUACUGAUGUUUGUAUCUCGCUGGAGCGAGUGAUUUUUGUAUACUAUGAUGUUAUGUAUGUAUAGUGAACCUUUGUUAUUAUAUAUGUUUUCUUUUUAGCAGCUCUAUACUAUUGGUUAUAGUAUUGUAUGAUUACAGGUACAGGUACAGUUUCACUUUGUAUAUAGAAAAAUUUUUUUUGUAUACGACGGGUCUGUUAACGUGCCCGAGGAAACGAGUAAUCCGGAGCGUGACAUUAAAUGCACAUGCACGUGCAUGUAUUUCCUUACAAUGGUAUUAGAGCCACCUCGUGUCGCCACAAAAAUUAUUCUUGUUACUGAUUUGGAUUUGGGGUUGUAUGAUUUAACCCUAAUGUGAAAGUAUAUACAAAACAUAUUUCAUAUAUUUGAUAUAUGAAAGUAAUUGGUGACAAUUAUAAAUCCCGGGCGACGUAGUUAAUAUGUCAUUAUCUUAUGGUGGUUAAUUAUUUAAGUUAGCAUGCAAUUAAUAAAAGGAUUUUAAUUGCAUAUAACUUAAUCUAUUAACCUAGGUAUGUUAUAUAUAAAGGCUAAAUCAAAUUACAUAUGUUGGGGUAUGAGAUGCACUAUAUGAUUUCAUCAUAUGGUCUGAGAUUAUUUAGUAAUCAAUGUAUACAAAAUAAUUGUGUUAGAUGCAAUUUAAGAGUAAAUUGAAAUAAAGACCAAAACUUCCUAUUAUAAAUAUUAAGUUGUAAUGAAGAGUGUUAGGAACACCCUAUUGUGGCCUUCUACCAUUGAAAGGUGUUGGCAUUUUCCUAAUUGUUGAAUGAUACGCAUGGUUACAUGGGCCACUUACAUGAAGAAAGCGCAACCACCUUAUCAACAUUUGAUGUUGUGUGGUAAAAUUAGUAUUGUACCCAACAACUGUCAGGUGAGGGUUCAAUAUUAGUUUUACACACAUAUUGAACGGUAGGUCAAAUUUAACUAGCAUGUUGGGCCAAUAACUGUUAUGUGAGGCUUUUACGUCCUAGAGGCCAAGGAAUAAUUGCAACAUGUUUCUGAAACAUUGAACAAGAGUUGUCCACUCAUCUAUUUGCUAAUUAUCAAUAACUGUUAGGUGAGAUAAUUUGCAAAAUUGGUGAGACCACAAUCCCCACUAGAAAUCAAUUUAGGAGGUUUUCGUUUCUUCACUAAAAAAGUGUGGACAUCCAGAAAACUCAGUGGGAGACACCAUUUGAUUAAAAGUCUAUAAUCAAGUGGAAUAAUGAAAAGUACAUAACUAACUGAAUAUCUUUACCUUCUACAGAAUAUGGCUGCUUCUAACCCUCUCACUAAAAUUCUUGAUGCCAACCGCUUAACUGGCCCUAAUUUUUCUGAUUGGCUACGGAACUUGAGAAUCAUUCUCAAUUCUGAAAAAAUUGCCUAUAUUUUGACCACUCAUGCUCCUGAACUUCCAGCUGAUGAUAAUGAGCAACAGAGAGCUGCUUAUGCAAAAUGAAUGGAUGACGAUAAUAGAGUCAGGUGUUAUAUGUUGGGAUCAAUGAGCAAUGAGCUAUAACAUCACUGUCCAUGUGUUCAUGUUGACGUUGCAACUCAUUGCUCAUCGAUGCCAACAUGUAACAGCUGACUCUAUUAUCGUCAUCCAUCCAUUUUUCAUAAGCAGCUCUCUGUUGCUCAUUGUCAUCAACUGGAAGUUCAGGAGUAGGAGUGGUCAACAUAUAGGCAAUUUUCUCAGAAUUGAGAACGAUUCUCAAGUUCCGUAGCCAAUCAGAAAAAUUAGGGCUGGUUAAACGGUUGGCAUCAAGAAUUUUAGUGAGAAGGUUAGAAGCAGCCAUAUUCUGUAGAAGGUAAAAAUAUUCAGUUUGUUAUGUACUUUUCAUUAUCCUAUUUGAUUAUGGAUUUUUAAUCAAAUGGUGUCUCCCACUGAGUUUUCUGGAUAUCCACACUCGUUUAGUGAAGAAACAGAAACCUCCUAAAUUGAUUUCUGGUGAGGAUUGCGGUCUCAUCAAUUUUGCAAAUUAUCUCACCUAACAAUUAUUGGUAAUUAGCAAAUGAUGAGUGGACAACUAUUGUCCAAUGUUUCAGAAACAUGUUGCAAUUAUUCCUUGGCCUCUAGGACGUAAAAGCCUCACCUAAAAGUUAUUGGCUCCACAUCCUAGUUAAGUUUGACCUACCAUUCAAUAUGUGUAUAAAACUAAUAUUGAACCCUCACCAAACAGUUAUUAGGUACAAUACUAAUUUUACCACACAACAUCAAAUGUUGAUAAGGUGAAUGCGCUUUCUUCAUGUAAGUGGCUCAUUUAACCAUGCGUAUCACUCAACAUUUAAGAAAAUGCCAACACCUUACAACGGUAGAAGGCCACAAUAGGGUGUUCAUAACACUCUUUGUUACAACUUAAUAUUUAUAAUAGGAAGUUUUUGUCUUUAUUUCAAUUUCAUCAGAUCUUACUUUUAAAUUGCAUCUAAUGCAAUUAUUUUGUAUCUAAUACAAAAUAAUAUUAAACAUUGAUGACUAAAUAAUCUCAGACCAUAUGAUAAAUUCAUAUAGUGCAUCUCAUGCCCCAACAUAUGCAAUUUGAUUUAGCUUUUAUAUGUAAUCUACCUAGGUUAAUAGAUUAAGUUAUAUGCAAUUAAAAUCCUUUUAUUAAUUGCAUGCUAACUUAAAUAAUUAACCACCAUAAGAUAAUGACAUAUUAAUUACGUCGCCCGGAAUUUAUGAUUGUCACCAAUUACUUUCAUAUAUCAAAUAUAUGAAAUAUCUUUUGUAUAUGCUUUCACAUUAGGGUUAAAUCAUACAACCUCAAAUCCAAAUCAAUGACAAGAAUAAUUUUUGUGGCGACAUAAGGGUGGCUCUGAUACCAUUGUAAGGAAAUACAUGCACGUGCAUGUGCAUUUAAUGCAGUGGAAAUAAAUUUUAUUUAUAAAAUAUGAUCCAAUCAUGUAUACUUUAAUAUCAUAACAUUUAUGAUAUUAGUAUAUAUAUGUACCAAGAUCAUCUCGUGUGAUACAAAAAUUAUUAUUGUAAUCUAAUUAGAAGAAAGUUUCGAAUUUCAAUCUGUGUUGAUUACCGAAAUUAUUUUACGGUUGAUUUUGGAUCUGAUCUUCUGAUUGUUUUAGCCGCACAAGUGUUCGGCCUCUAUAUUUAUCCACACAAGGCUGCUCCGGGAUCUGUGCUUCACACAAUCACAGUGUAAUCUCGAAACUCCUUUCGUGAUCUCUUGUGUCAAUAUAGAGAAAAAUUAAUCCUCAAAAUUAUGCUAGCAAUUUCAACAAAAUUAACUAUAGAGACCAAUUAAUAUAGGAUGACCUCUCUCUUAUGAUUAAAAGAAAGCUUUAUAUGAUUGGGAGAAUUUUCUUUCUUUCUCUUGCACUUCACUUUAUGUGUUGUGAUAAUUAUCAUCAUUGAGAGAUGCCUCAAUUUAUAGGAGAGGAAAAAGGUAGAGAGCCGAGGAAGAGGUGGGAGAAACGUUCUCAUAAUGAGACGUUGAUGUCCUUGCAAUUAAUAAAGCAUCUCUCUCUCAAAUUUGGAGAGGAGAGAAAGAAAGAAAACACACACCAUAAAUGAGAGGAGAGUUAACUCCUCUAAUUUGAUAUGUAUAGAGAAGAAGAGAGGAAAGGAAAAAUGUUUUCACUUUUCUUCUCCAUUAAUAGUACAAUUAAUAUGUACAAUUUUAUUUUCUUUCUCUCUCCCUUUUUGUCUUCAUCUCCCAAUAAUUAAUAAAAGGAUUAGAUACGAAGAGAGAGUUGUCACCUUAUAAGUUAUUGCAACUAUUGCACAUAAGCCCUCGUACUAAAUCAAAUUUAGUUUUAGGUCACUCUACGCAAAUUCCAUCUUUUGCAAUUAGAGUUUUUGUUAACCACCUUAGUAAAUAAAUUCUUAUUUUACUACUUUAGCAAAAUAGUCUCUAUUAAUUCUCCAAGCACUCGAUCACACAUGGCCUUUAUUGUGUGUGAUCACAUAGGUUCAAUUCUACCUGGUAGUGAGAUGUGACACUAAACUCUUUUAAUGUCACCAUUGGGACUCUUCUCGAUGGAGCAAAAUAUUUUUGGCUCUCCCAACUGAGUGUAAUUAACUAUCUUAAUCACUCUCAUGGGUCCCACAAUCCACGAGUGACACCUAGCAGUAUAUCGCGGCAAUCCAAGUAAAAUUAAUAAUAGACAGAAUCUCUAGGUGCAGUUACCGUCUGAUAAAAUCCUUCUAUCAAUUGUCCUGAUUGAGUUGAGGUUAUGGAUAACUUGUCAAACCCAUUACUCAAUCAUAUGUCUCAUCUGAUUAACAAAUAAUAUUGAAACUCUUUUUCAGAAAAUCACACUGUCUUGGCCAAGGGCUUUUAUAUCUUGUAAAACAGAUAGCAUAGGAUAAUUACCUCUCUACCGAGGGUGAUAGAUUCUAUCUUGACACACACCUAUCUCCACGUAUGACCCACUGCAGCCAACAUGUGUUGACUUAACCCAUGAUUAGGGUAUAAGUAUUUACACAGUCAAACUACAAUAACCCAUACGCAAGAUAACAGUGGUGCCUCAGGUCAAAGGAUCACUCACACUACUACAGUAUGGAACAAUUCACUAACGAGUGAGUAGACAUUCAUGUGAUUGUUUAUAGUUGAUCACGCUCAGUGAAAUUGUUCUCCAACAUUCACCUGUAUGUUUACUCUAGUGUCACCACACUAAUGACUUGAGACUCGUCAUUCCAUAAGGGAAGUACAACAUACACUGAUCUAUCCAGAUUUAUCACCGCCCUCGUGAUAAUCCUAUUUUCAAGAGCAUUUAAGAAUUAAUUACAGAAGAAUAUAAAUCUCAAAUUUUAACUUCUUAGAAAUAUAAUUCUUCUAUUAUUAAUUCUAUGGACGAUUCAUAAAUAUGCAUUUGGUAAUAAUAUGAAUGAAGAAUGCCAGCUUUAAUCAUAGAAGAAAAGUACACUGAUAUUAUCCUUUUAAGUUAUGACAGAGAUUGGCUUAUAAGGCAUAUAACUAACAAUUUUGACUUGACGUAUGCCGUCGUCCAUAUCAGUGGAUCGAGGAGACGAAGUGGUUGAAAAGAAUAAAAAAGAAUGAGCCAGAAUAGUAAAAUAAGUGAAUAUGUGGAAAGAGACGAAAUAUACCGCCAAGAGUAGAGGAGAAGUUGUCGACUCCUUGUCAGAACCCCCACUCAACGCUUCUUGUUCCGAAGAAUCAACCAUGGUCUCCUUAUCCUUAGAGAGGCCAGCUGAAACGAAGCAUAUUGGAAACAGAAUAAAUCAAAAAAGAAAGGGGCAAAGAAGAGGGAAUCUGAAAAAUAGAAGUACCUACUGCUUGAUCAAAAUCAAAGCAACGAAGAUGAUUCGGAAAGGGCAUUGUGAAUAACCCAUCGCAGAAAUUGUCCUAUGCACGCCGGAAAAGUGCAUCGGUUAAUCAUGUUCUAUUCCGCCAAAAACUUACAGGGAGUAAAAGAGCGCCUCAAACAAUUCUCCAUUGUCGAGAUCUAAUCCGCCUCGACUGCUUCUUUGGUAGGGUGUGAGAACGAGAAUUGUUGGCCAUAAAAAACUUAGGUGGAACCAAAAGUGAUUGAAUUAGACCGAACUAUCGCACCUUCGAAGUAACAAAAAUUCAGAAUCUCUUUUUUGUGAUGAUAAUGCCAAAAAAUAUCAGUUGGCUUAUCUGUCGUUCUUUAUAUUGAUCAUUACAUGCCUCUUGAAUCUUCUCUUCCCUAUUUUUCUAUUUGUUAUUUGAUUUAUUAUGUUUUUUGGGGCUUACUACAGAUUUACUCCUCUUGUUUUAUUAUUGAUAGGAAUUCUCUUGUUGAGACCCUAAGAAUCAAUUGAAAACUCAGAUUCGUUUAGAACCAUGAAUGAUUUAUUUGCAAUAAACUUUCGUUCUUGGUGUCAACUUAGUCUUCAAGCCGAUAUGCAGAUCCCGUGCAGCCAGGAAAGAAUACAAGAGUUCGAAGUACUCACUGGCAUUAGAUGAAACCAUUUGGCUUUAAAUAGCUUCGAACCUUGCAAUAAACCAAGUUGGGCCAAUCAGUCGCUCUCUGAAAGGUACCCAGUUGAUGAGGUGUCGGGUAUUGUAGGAGUAGAAAACUCGAAAGUAAGUCAGAAAUCUGAAGGUUGGCCCAAAGAAAGGGGUUCCAGACAAUCGAGGCCAGCCCCGUACGUGUCGAAAUGUGGAACUGAAUCCUAGUCAAAGGGGAUUCGGCACAAAACAGCUGCAAGCAGUGUUGGAGAAACCACAUGAUCCUGCAGCCCGAACUGAUGACUAUACUGCUCUUCAAUAGCAACGAUUUGAUUGACUCUAGGAUAUCCCGAUAAAAAAACUAAAGCAAAUACGAGCUGAGAGAUAGUUUUUCGUCGUGGGCCAACGCGAAGGCGAUUAGGACAAAGUCCCGGUUGAUCUUCUAUGAUCGAGUGUAACGACCCGGCCCGCUAGCAAUAAUAACUCAUUGAGCCCAGGCCGCUGGCCCAAAAUGCUUAAGCUCAGUUAUUAUGUCUAGCUUAGUUAAGUUUAUAUACCUCCACAUUUAGCCAUAACUACUCAAUAUGGGAUUAUUUGGGUGUCACAGACUCCACCCAUUUAGGCCCUGAUGUCCUCGUCAAUUCUAAACACACACACAACCCAUGAUCACAAGGCAAUGUGAGACUUGUUUCACUGGCCUUUCUCAUUGAGAUCCUGACUUAGCCUGUCAUUCAUUGAUCCUGGCUUAGUCUGCCAUUCCAACCCUGGCUCAGCCAAGACUCAUCUUACACUUCUGGCUGGUGAACCGGCUCUGAUACCAAAUACAAUGACCCGACCCGCUAGCAAUAAUAACUCGUCGGGCCCAAAUCAUUGGCCUCGAAUACUUAACCUCAGUUAUUAUGUCUAUCUUUAUCAAAAUUAUAUACCUCUACAUCAAGCCAUAACUACCCGAUGUAGGAUUAUUGGAGUGUCAUGUCGGGUACAGAAAAAAUUAUGGCAGAGCCAAUAAAGAAGGGAAGUGGUAUGCUCAUCUUAGGUGACAGGAGUAGUGGGGGACUGACCCAUAAACAGCUUCAUAAAUUUGGUAUAAGCGAGGUCCGUUUUUGGGUCUAGAAGGGCCUUAAAUUUUGCUAGAACCAUCAAGAUUGUAGGCCAUAGAUAGGGGUGUAAUGUGGGCCGUAUCGGGCCAGCACGACCCACAUUAAGCCGGGCCGAAACAGGUCGGAGGCUAGCCCAGCACUGCUUGGCCACAAAGUCGGGCUGUGUCGUGCUGGGUCGUAGUUCUUUGACCACAACCCAACACGAACCCUGGCCCGGACGGCAUGGGCCGUGCCGGGCGGGGCCAAGCUUCGGGCCAUCCCUUUUUAUUUAUUUAAUUUUAAAUUAAAAAAAUAAAAUAAAUUAAAAUACUAUUUUUUAAAAAUAAUAUAUGAGAAAAAAUUUUAAAUUUUAAAAUAUAUUUAUAAAAAUAAUAAAAUUUUAAAAUUAUUUAAAAAUUUUUAAUAUUUUUGGACCAAAAUACCCUCACAAUAGUCAAAUGGGAGGAUAUUUUGGCCCUAAGAAGACCAAAAGCCCUGCUCCUAAGGGUCUGCUGUAGCAAACCCUUGGGAGAGGCCUAAGGCAUACAACCUGGCUCCCAACUCCCAAAGCAUUGGGAGUUGGGAGCCUUUCGGAGCCGGUCUUUGGCUCCUCUCAGGCCCGGCAUGGCCCAGGCCCGUGUUGUACCGAGCUGUGCCGGGCCAACGGACCGCAGAAAGGUGGCCCAACCCGAUCUGAUUUAUCNGCCGAGCUGGGGCUCCUCUCAGGCCCGGCAUGGCCCAGGCCCGUGUUGUACCGAGCUGUGCCGGGCCAACGGACCGCAGAAAGGUGGCCCAACCCGAUCUGAUUUAUCAGGCCGAGCCAGCCCGGCACGAGUGCUACAGUACUCGUGUCGUGCCUUUGCCCGGCCCAAUAUCCUGCCUGGUCGGGUGGCUCGUGGGCCGCCUGGCUCGUUUUACAAGCCUAGCCAUAGAUAGGAUAGUGCCAUGAGGAUGAAGACCAAGGAUUACUGCCACAUAAAAAUGGUCGGGAUAAAAGGCCCAACCAUAAAUGGAAGGUAUUCGAAGCAGAGGACCAGAAGCAUAACGCCGCAGCAAAAAGGAGAUUGUCGACUUGGGGAGUCUUUGAAAGUUAAAUGGUGUCGUAAAUCCCAAUGUCACGCCAUGAGUCGGCAAAAGAUGCUUUAACUCAAUCUAACUAUGCUAGGUAUGUCUCCGAGAAGCUAGGCCAGGUGCGAAGGCUGUUUCUUGGUGAUUUUGAGGAAAACCAAAAAUGGAAAUGAAUGAUAUCCGGCAUUACAGGAAGCCCUCCCGCUGAGAAAAAAAAUGUUGUUGCUAGAGGGUCCCAAGAAAGAAGGGCCGAGAAUGAAGCAGGAAGGGUCAGCCACAGAUGACUUCAAAAGGUGGAAGUCAACAUUAGAAGAUGAGGAAAAAGAAGGAAUCCGAGCCAUUGGAGAAGGAGGCUUUGGAGAAGAAGGCUCUAGAGAAGAGGAAGAGCAAAAGAAAAAUAGUCGAGAAGAAAAAUAAGGAAGCAGCUUGGAGGAGACAAUAUAGUGUCGUUGGGGGGAGUUUUGAAAAGGAUUUGAUGAUGAUGGCAACAUUUAAUCUCCUAUUUAAUGCCCUAGGUCGCUAGGUAAGACAAAAGGCACCCAAAAUCGUAGUCGUCGAAGAAUAAAAUUAAGUACGGAAUAAUUAAAAGGCGUGGCUAAACGAGGCUGCUGAGCGGAACAAUGAUAUGACCGAAAAGGAUGGUCAAUCUCGACAAUUAAUCCAGCGGCAUCUAAUCUCAGUCAUUAAUCAGGUAACGUCGGUCACCCGAAACACCUAUUCAGGAGACUGCCAGGGGUGUAUUUUUGGCAUCGAGAAAAUAACGCCACAUGGUAAGCGGUUUGGCCCACAUGAUCAAACAGUGAGAACAAAACAACAGGUGACACGUGGUGCAUGCACUAGGAGCCAAGGAGAAGAACGCCUAAACAGAAAAGCGGUUUAGGCGGGAAUAGUUAGAUACGUAGAGGUAGAGUUCCGUGGCCAACAAGGUAUCAGCCGAAGCACAAUCCGAAGAAAUAGGGACAUGGCCGAAAAAAUCUCCACGACAAGAAUCACCCAAUAACUACAGGCGGUAGAAUAUAUUACAAUAAAUAGGAAAAAGCGCACCUAUGAUUAGAGUCCUUCAUAUGAGCAAACGACUACUGCAAAUUUCAAUUUUUUCUUUAGCAUUUAUGACUUUCCGGGAGUAGUUCACAAAUUUUUCUUUUCUUUUAUCAUUUUUUUCGAGAGUUUAGUUAAUUUUAAGAGCUUUUCUAGGACUAAAUUUAGCUUUUCUACCCGCUUUUGUAAUCUCUCUUUUGCAGUUAGUAUAAAUGGUCGGUUCUUUCAGCUAAGCUCGCCUUUCGGUUCACUUGUAGAUAGUUAGCAGAAGAGCCCGAUUGAGUAGAUUCCUUCUCAAUCGAAUCGCUUGACUUAGUAAUGGAGCAUUUGAUAGUCAUUCGAGGAACCGAUUCGCAUUCCAAGGCUGUGUCUGACUUGGUCAAUGCAUUGACCUGGUCAAUGUCGUCCCGCAUUUGGUUUCUAGCCCAAUAGUCUCCAAUGAGUUUCCUACCGGAUUGGAUUGUUACAAAUUCACCCUCUAAUAAAAAUGUAUUAAAUAUGGAAUAAGGUGAAGUUAUUUUAAGAGUUUUGGAACCACUAUCAAUGAAUUUAUCAAAUUUGAAAGUUUCGGGACUAAAAUAUAAUCCUUGACUGAAAAUAUAAUUUUGAAAUAAAGUGAAACUAUUUCAAGAGUUUAAGGACCAUUAUAUAUCCUACACGUGCAAUUUGCCUAUAUAAUAACUAGGGCUGGCAAACGAGCGAGCCGGCUCGCGUUCGACUCGUGUUCGGCUCGAUAUUCGGCUCGCUCGAGCUCGACUCGAAAUUAAAUAAGCCGAGCUUGAACAAAAUAAAAGGCUCGAAAUUCAUUUCAAGCCGAGCUUGAGCCUAGAUUUAGGCUCGAAAUUAAUUUCAAGUCGAAUUUGAGCUGACAUAAGCUCGCUCGAGCUCGGCUCGUUUCCACCCCCUAAUAAUAACUGUGGCACAAAUGGAUUAUGUUUAGAUUCAGAUAUCAAAGGCAAAAGAAUACUAUCCACUGCUGUCAAGACUAACUGUACGCUGCAUCUAAAUUGGCAAACAUGCUUCCCCAAUUAUAUACUUUGCGAAAGCAUAAAAAAUACAAUUAAUGUGGAAGUCACAAUUGCUCUGAAGGCACUUCAAAGUCAGAAAGUAUGUUAGAAUAAAAUUUCUAUUUUUGUUGCUCUUCACGAAAGUUGGGUAGACUUUAGCAACAAAUGGGCAGUAGGAGGUUUAGCUUAUUCUGCACGUCCCCUCAUGUCAGUAUUUCUUCCUCUGUUACUUUCAGUGCUUGACCAAUAUCUUAAUAAAAGAAAAAUUAAAAAAAAAAAUCGAUGACUUUAGAGUGGCCAUAUUUUUCUCAUAGAAUGACAUCAAGGAUGAUAAGAAGAUACUUACUACACAUAAAAUAGGACUAAGAAUAUGGAUGCGUGUGGGGACAAUAGUUUGAAGCUAAUCUUUUGCUAAUAUUAUUUAGGAAAACGUGCGUAAAAACCCUCUGAACUCCAACAGUUUUGUAACCGGUGUGAACUUUUAAUUUUGACAACUCAAUUGUCGAAUAGUACUCCAUCCUUCUCCUCUGUUAAAGUUACUAAUCACAUAACUAUAUUUGUAAUCUUCCAAAACUUUAAAUUACAAAAAAAAAAUAAAAAUCUAUUUCUUCUAUUCUAACACAAAAACAAAUAAAGAAAAAUUGAAAAUGGGUUCCUCCUGUUCUUUAAUCCUAAUGUCUAAUUAUGAUAAUUAGACGAGAAAAGUAUAUUUUCUGUGUUCUUGAAGCUAGACAAAGUUAUAUAUAAAAUAUACAAUCAAAAUGACUAUUUAAUUAGUAACUUUACGUGAGCAGAUUAAUCUACUAAUCUAUAUAUAAAAAAAAAAAAAAUUUAGAAUGUUUGGUUGUUAAAAUGAAAAGUUUAAAAAUUUAUUUGCAAAAGUGCUGAGGUUCAGAAAAUUUUUAAAUAAAUUUUUUUCAAUUAUUUAAUGGUUUGGAGGGUCAUUGAUUCAAUCAUGGGAUCAAGCCGAUGUUUGUUUUGCCCAAAAGUCAAAUCAAUGAAAAGUCAGGUUCCACAGGGCUCUCACGUCAUCGCCAAAUCUAUUGAUUGCUCAAAAGUGAUGGCCGGUGACAAAACGUAUCGAGAACCUCUUUUCAUUUCUUUUUUUUUCUUUUUUUUUUUUCUCAUGUAAAAAAGUACCAUACUAUGAACUAUGAAAAAAGAAAUGUAAACGAAAUAAAUGAGAAAAUAAAUGCUAAACGAAAAGAUUGUAGAGCAAUAAUUAAUCUUGCUCUGCUUCACCUUUUCCCGGUUCUCUCGCUCUCCUGAAACCGUCGCUUGCCCAAAUCCCACCGCAUUAAAAUGUCCCUCUAUUGCGUCCUCCUUUGACAAAUUGCACGAAGCAUCGGCCUAAAAGAGUGGAAGAUAACAGCCACCUUGCUCAGCUAGCUAUUCUUCUCCCACCAAAACCCAUUGCGAAAGGGACCUUCGCCUUUGACCUCGCAUACUUAAAUAAUAAUUUAAAUAUGGAGGAGGCAACAGGCAACAGGCAACUAGGCAAGUGGGUUUUAAGUAUAUGUAAAAUAAUUACAUUACAUAAAAGGAAAGGAAAGGCCAAAAAAAGAAAAGAAAAGAAAAGAAAAGAAUAGCUAUAUAAAUCUAAAUCUUUAUCUUUAUCUUUCCCCUCCCCUCCCACCAUGGCUCUUCCAAAGCUCCCGGCCCGUCUCCUCCUCCUUUUGCUCUGCGUGAUCUCCGCCGUCGUCUUUGCAAGCGCGUACAGAAGUGGCUCCUCCGUCUACGGAGCUCCUCGUCGAAAUCAGGUGCCGGAGCGACACGGCAUUAGGAAGGUCCAUCUUGGUCCGCGCGGUCAUCUCUCCUUCCAGAUUGAAGGGCUGCCGUCGGCGUUCAGCUCCCUCCCUCGAGGGACGCAGAUCCCGCCGUCGGGGCCGUCCAAGCAGCACAACAGCCUCAGUGACUCCACUGCGACCAGCGGGGCUGUCGCGCCAUGACCCAGCAAACACACAUAUAAAUUUAUAAUUAACCAUCUACAUGCAUGUACGUAGGUAGAGAGUUUGUACGUAGCUGCUGGGGAAGUAAUUAAUUAUCCCAAGUAUUGAUUCUUGCACUAAUUACUUGUUGAUUGUCGCAAGAGGGUGCAACAGUGCACCUCGCCAAACAGGUAAGGUAGUUACUUAUUUUUGCUGAUUGGUUGGAGCUUGGAGCGCGGUCUUUUUUCUUUUCUUCUCUUUUCUUUUCUUUUUUUCUGUUCUGUUUCUGUUUCUGUUUCUGUUUGCUUAGUAUUAGUAGUUAAUUUCCAAAGGUUUGCAGUGUAUAAUGAGCUUUCUUCCUUCUCCUUAAUUGUCCUUUCAUCACCGCAGAAGAUGAUACCCAACUCGCAGAUUUUAGUUUUGAAAAGGGUGCAUUCACCUACCGUCCCAAGCGCAAGUGGCAAAGUACUUAAUGGUUGGUACCCGAGAUCCCGAGUUCAAAUUCUAAUUGAUUACAUUUCCAGAUAAGUUUAUUUUUAAAUAAAAUAAACAAAACGGGUAGCAUACAACCUAUCUCUCUCAAAAAAAAAAUUAGGCGGAAAAUUUGAAAUCCCGCAAUUUGUCUAUAUAUAUAUAUAUAUAUAUAGAGAGAGAGAGAGAGAGAGAGAGAGAGAGCGCGUCUGACUAUUAUAGUCUUAUGAGUAUGAUCGUCUUCGUAUUCAUAAGUCGUUUUCGAUAAUAGAGCUUUUAAAUCAACGAUCAUACCGUUAAAUAUUAUUUGGAGAAUUUAAAACUUAUAAAAAUCAAAUUUCAUAAUUUUUCGCUAUCAUUUACUUUACGAUUAAAAAGUCACAAAAUUAAUAAUUUUUUACGGCCGGUAUGGAAUACUUGCUAGUUUAACCAUAUAAAAGAAUUGAAAUAGAUUGAAUUUUUGAUAUAAAAUCUAUUCACUAGCUAGAUAAAGAUAAAUAACUCCUAUCUUAAAUUGAAGGAUCUGAUAAUCCAUUUUUAGUACGUCGUUCAAUUUUGAUCGCUCAUUUUAUACCCGCUUGAUGAACUUUAUUAUGAUUUCAAAAAAUUACAAAACUUAUUUUUAAAAGUUUCAAAUACUUUAGAUCAUAUUUAACGGAGUGUAUCAUCGAUUCGGAAGCUCCAUUAUUGAAAAUAACUUAUGAGUACGAAGAGUUCUAUACUCAUAAGAGUAUAAUAGCCUUACUCAUAUUGUCCUAUCGUCAUCGCAAAAGAUCAUACC
RNAcentral lists this long non-coding RNA (30134 nucleotides) under Ananas comosus (pineapple). RNAcentral describes it as "long non-coding RNA (ACOM_LNC012254)". Lineage: Eukaryota; Viridiplantae; Streptophyta; Magnoliopsida; Poales; Bromeliaceae. The record is from RNAcentral.